GAUGAACGCUAGCUACAGGCUUAACACAUGCAAGUCGAGGGGCAGCAUGACCUAGCAAUAGGUUGAUGGCGACCGGCGCACGGGUGAGUAACACGUAUCCAACCUGCCGAUUAUUCCGGGAUAGCCUUUCGAAAGAAAGAUUAAUACUGGAUAGCAUAACGAGAAGGCAUCUUCUUGUUAUUAAAGAAUUUCGAUAAUCGAUGGGGAUGCGUUCCAUUAGUUUGUUGGCGGGGUAACGGCCCACCAAGACAUCGAUGGAUAGGGGUUCUGAGAGGAAGGUCCCCCACAUUGGAACUGAGACACGGUCCAAACUCCUACGGGAGGCAGCAGUGAGGAAUAUUGGUCAAUGGACGAGAGUCUGAACCAGCCAAGUAGCGUGAAGGAUGACUGCCCUAUGGGUUGUAAACUUCAUUUAUAUGGGAAUAAAGUGGGCCACGUGUGGCUUUUUGUAUGUACCAUACGAAUAAGGAUCGGCUAGCUCCGUG
Molecule: ribosomal RNA, 485 nt
Filed under: uncultured bacterium
Lineage: Bacteria
Description: partial 16S ribosomal RNA
Rfam family: Bacterial small subunit ribosomal RNA
Source: RNAcentral